CAGGAAGCUGUUGAGACUUGCUCACAAUGAACAAGUUAUAAAGAUGCUUGUCUAGUUUAGUCAGGAUGUGAUGAAAUCUGCUUGUGCUUCUCAAUGACAUAAUCUCUCACAUCAUGACGUCACAGAAGAAAAUCCCACUGCUGAGGAGUCAGAAAUUCAGGCUUCCAAGAAACAUUUACUAAUACCUGUGCAUGCUGUGGCAGGGGUAGGAAAUGCAGGGAUGGGUUUCUUCCGAGUUAUGAACAAAUGAACUUGGUAAAAUUACUAUGGAUUGGAGGUGGAGCAUGACCCAAGGAGCAAUAGAGCCAGAACUGUAGUGUCCAGAAAGAUUCUGGAAGGAAGAUUACAUGUAAAGCCAUUAUAGACACUGGGAAAUGAUUGGCCAAGAUGAGGUCUAGUCCUAAGUCCAUUACCUCCUGUGCCUGCUGCUUAAAGAUUUCGCAAAGGAAGAUUUUGAAGCGACCUUACUUCACAUUGCAUCAGAUAUAUUGAUAUAUGAAAGUGCACCCACG
This is a long non-coding RNA of Tupaia belangeri chinensis (Chinese tree shrew), 512 nucleotides long. RefSeq lists it as uncharacterized. The transcript has 3 exons. The record is from RefSeq and is a predicted model, not a curated record. NCBI's taxonomy places the organism in Eukaryota, Metazoa, Chordata, Mammalia, Scandentia, Tupaiidae.